This is a long non-coding RNA of Mus musculus (house mouse), 17769 nucleotides long. RefSeq annotates it as predicted gene, 32483. The transcript has 2 exons. The record is from RefSeq and is a predicted model, not a curated record. NCBI's taxonomy places the organism in Eukaryota, Metazoa, Chordata, Mammalia, Rodentia, Muridae.
GCCACCCCCCUCCAGAACACCCACCCCCGGGGCCGGCGUCUGAGGAGGGGGGCCGCACCACCCCCAAAAAUGUUCUUGGAAAAAUUUAAGGACUUUUUCCCCCUUCUGUCUUUCCUCCCAAGAGAACAAGAAAGGGAGAUCGUUUAAAAAAAAAAAAUUAUAUAUAUGUAUAUAAAAGUUUUCGACUUCUCUCUACCCCCCUCGGUUGCUUUAAAUAUAUUUAAAUUCUGAGGGGGGCGCUCAGAAAUAUUUCUCAGAGCUGAGGCACUAAGAUGGCCGCCUUGAAAUUAUUUUUAAAACAACCCCCCCUCCAGCACUGCCACCCCCCUCUAUAAAGAAAGAGAGAGGGGGGUAAAAUCCCCUUUUAAAACAAAAUGGCUGGCUUAAUAUUUCAUUUUUCAUACACCCCCAUUCUCCCUGUUACAUCCAAUCUCCAAGCUUCUACUCAGAAACCCACAAAUUUCUCCCUUUUUUCAUAACUGAUUAGUGCACAGAUUAAUACAUUUUCCUUGUGUAUUGAGAGAGAGAGAGAGAGAGAGAGAGAGAGAGAGUGUGUGUGUGUGUGUGUGUGUGUGUGUGUGUUGGGGGGCAUGAAGGAUUUCUGCAUAAAACAAAAAUGGCUGCUGUGACUUAACUCCCCCCCUUAUAAAAAUAUUUGGGGGGGUAUUAAUCAGUACUCAUGCUCAGUCUGACAUCAGCAUAAAUUGUUAAAGGUUAACUAGUUAGAUACUAGUCCAACUAGAUUGAAUUUUUCUUUUCUUUACUAGUCUUCUUCCUCCCCCCACCUCCCUUCUCUAAAGAAAAGCUUUUUUUUUUUUUUUCUGAAUACUUCAGAAGGGAGUGGUUUGAUGUGAAGGUUUUUUUUUUUUUUCCUUCAGGCAUUGAAAAGGAAAAAGAUGAAAUAUAUGUUUAUAUAUAACUCUCUACAUACCUCAUUGAAGUCAAAAUGCAUUUAAUUGUUGGCUUGCUUGUAAAAUCGUCUGACUUGAGAAAUUAAUUUGGUGGUGACUAGGUCAGAUUUUUAGGAGAAAGAGGAGAGGGUCGGAUCUGAAGAUUGUGAAAUUCUUUUCUCCUGUGUCAUCGAACGCCUCUUCCUCCAUGACCUUCGACACUGAUAAAGUAGAAGAAACUGAGGCACGGGGAGAGGAAAGCAACUGAGAAGAGAGGAACGAGGUAGGGCGAACACUCAGGCCUUUUCACUGAACCGGCUGACCUGUCCUUUCAGACUGGAUCCCAGUGUUUAUCUUAAAGUUGUAGCAGGGAUCAGAUGAGCAGCUGAGCUGGAGCCCAGAAGUAAGUUUUUCCUACAGAGAAUUGACAGAGCCGGCUCUACUGGAAUAAAACUUGCCAAGAAGCCAAGCAAGAAGGGCAGAUAGCCUGGCUCCACCUUCUUUUUUGUUCUUGGCUCUUUUCUUCCCUCCAGUUUCCUCCCAUUCUUUUGAUCUGUCUUUGUUGCUCCCCAUCCAUGGCCUGGGGAAACCAUUUCUCCACUGCCCCCUGAGGCUCCCAGCAUUCAUGGGGACCCUGAGGGGAAGGUGGGCAACAGCCAGGGAAGGACUUGUAACAAAGGAAUAGUCUCCAGAAUAUUGUUUACAAUGCUAAGAUGUUUCUUCUUGAUGGUCCAGUCCCCCACCCCACCCCCACUACACUUUAGUUGGUUAAGCAUUGGUUUCUGUCUGUCUGUCUUUCUUUUUAACUGUGGAAUUAUCUUGCCUAUGCACCCAUAUUAUUUGGUUCUGUCCUCUCUCGAUUUCACUGCCAGUCUGGAUGGGUACCCCCUCUUUCUAUGUGUGGGCUCCUCUGUAAGUGCACUCAACCCCUCCGUGACACUUUUGCUGACACCUUUGACCCCAAGGGCCUCAUCAUUUCUAAGUGACGGACAUCUCUGUCCUCUGUUCACUUUCUCCCUUCCCGUCUGUGAAUACGGAUGGCUCUUCUUGAGUGUGCCUGGCUCCCCCUCUUCCUGGCCCGAGGAUGCGAACGUGCAUCAUCCUGACACUAAGAGUGUCUCCACUUGUGUGCGCGCCACAUUGCACAGCAUGUGGCAACAGUCUCUUGUGUCCUCUCCUGUGCCAGGCACCUCUGCCUGCCGGCCACACGUGUCACAGUCUGCAGGUGUAGGUGGCUGAUGGUGGUCGGUCGCCUCCCUGUGCAGGCCUGUAAUCCUUGUCUCUAACAGAGCACCUGUUAAUCUGCCCAGCUCCCUCUCCCACACUUUCCAUCUCCCCCCACACCGCCCCCAGCCUGUCUGCAUCUGCUCCCGCUUUUCCUGUGACCUCUUGAUGUGUCUUCUCACCUCGCUCCUGCCUGCCUCUCUACCUGCUUGCUUCUGUUAUGAUGCCUGCCUGCCUGUCUGCUCCUCCCUCACUGGCUGGCAGCUUUUUUCUCUCUCUGGUUGUCUGUCUGCUUCUCUGGCUGUUUGCCCACCACUCUCUCUCCCUAGCCAUCUGUCUCCCCGCCUGCCUGUCUCUGUCACUUUUAUAGCCUGAACCUCUUGGUUUGUCUACCUUCCAGGACUUGCCACAGUUUCCCAUCAUGGUUGGCCUCUCAUCUUGACCCUGUACUUGUUUCCGUUCCGCGUGUCUCCGCUGACUUCCUUGGCUUUCUUUGACUUCUUUUAGCUGUGUCCUCUCACUGCCUGUCUUGUCUGCUGCUCUCCGGCUGUUCAGUUUGUAUCUUUUUACUCUACUUAUCAGCUGUUUCUCCUAGGGCUUCCAAGGGUCGUGCUGACAACGCACCAAUGGGCUUAGUUCCUCUCCCCAGGCCCUUCAGCGGGUCCCUCGCCUUGAUGCCUUGACAUCUCAGCUGCAGUUGUACUGUACCCCUUACCACGCCUCCUUUUUAAUCUCUCUUCCUUGCUGCCUUCACAGGCAGUCUGCCUGCCUCUGUCUUUUUGCUAGUUUCCUAGUAUCUAUUUUCCUGGCUUUUUGCUGUCUGCUUAGCAGGUUCUGGCUGUCCACAUCUCUGCUUGCUUUUCUUUCUUCUUGUUUGUUUUAGGUACUUUUCCCCCCAGUCAACUUUCGAAUAGAUAUAAACAUGCUAUGAAAUUCUCAAAGUAUGAAACCUAAAGCUAGUGUGACACAGCUAACUAAUUAGGAGCAUUGGUGUCCUUCCAGAGGACCCAGGUUUGAUUACCAGUACUGAUGUGGUAGCUGACAACCAUCUGUAACUCCAGUUCCAAGGAUACAACGCCCUCUUCUGGUGUCUGUGGGUAUUGCAUGAAUGAUAUAACACUGAGGCAAAAUACCCAUACACAUAAAAAAUAAAGGGGCUGAAGAGAUGGGUCAGCAGUCAACUGCACUGUUGUUCUGGGGUUUGAUUACCAGCACCCACCUACCUUUCUGUAAUGCCAGUUAUAGAGAAGUUAACACCCUGAACCACCCAGCGCAGCAGGCACACACAGAGUGCACAGACAUACACGCAGCAAAACUCUCAUGCACAUAAAAUAAGUGCUUUUAAACAUAAGACUUUUAAUGAAGAAUAAAAGUCUCCUACAUCACCUUCUCUCCCAGGCCAGGAAUGCUUAAGAGCCAGUCAUCAUCCCAUUUGUUAGAUGCCACUACAGGGAGGUCCACACAUCUGAACCCCCACCACUCUGUGCACACAGCCACUCCCAUCCCUUCUCAGUGGGUGUGGUUCUUAUCUCCUCUCUCCCAGGUUCACCCAUACCCUGUCACACAUCAGGACUUCCUGACUUCUCCAGGCUUUGCUACCUCUCCCCGUUUACCGUUCCGAUCCAACCUUGUAGGUCUCACAGAGCUGGGUACCAUCCUUUUAAUUGACUGCUUGCUCUUUGCUUGCUUUCACUGCCGCAGAAAUGCUCAGGAAGGGCUUAUCCUCCCCUAAGUCAACCUGGUAGGUGACCUGGAUGACUGCACACACUCCUUGGUCUCUUCCCUAAAACCUGUGUCACAGAAAGACAUGGCUACACUGGGAGGAGUGAACUGCCACACCGACGCAGGUCGACGUCACAAGUGCAGUGACGUGCAAGCUGUGCGUCCCUGCAUGGGAAGCAGGUAGACGCCUUGCUCUGCUUUUCUCGUAUACAUUUACAAUUUCUGUCUUUUCCUUUUGUAGGGAAACAAAGUCUAGCCGCGUAGCCCGGGUUCCUCGGCUUCCCCAGUGCAUACCAUGCCUAGGUCUUCAGGGUGAGUGACUCUAGAUCCUUUUGGGGUGUUAAGUCUGUCCAAGAAGUUUGCCUUCUUCCUUAUCCAAAAAUUUUGCCCCCCUCCUCAACCCUUGUUCUAUCUCUUCUCUGUGCAUUUUAGAGACAGACUCGGACUGUACACAGACCGUUUUUUGAGAAAAAUGAUCAAACAUCUCCAUAUCAUGUACACUGUCCUUUAUUUUUGCUUCGUAAAUGGCCCGUGUUCGAGAACCUCCUCACUUGUUGGUUCUGUCUUUCCUCUUAGAUGUCUGUCUUCCUCUCUGUUCCCACCUCUGCUUUGGAUUGGCUGACUUUCUGUCUGUCUGACCCGUAUCCCUCCAUCAUCUCGUCUGCCUGCAGAACUGACUGUUGAUAAAUUGUGUGGCACCGUGUCUGUGUCGAACAUUACUUUGUCUUCUGUCUUACCCAGUCCUUCCAUCACUGUCUGCUUCCUCUCCCUGUGUGUUGGUCUUGGGAAUGCCACCUGCUUCUCGUGGCUGUUUCUCUUUUUUCUUGAUAGCCCGUCGUUCCGCGUUUCUCUGUCUGCUCCAUUCUUGUCUCUUUCCUUCUGUGUUCACAGGUUCCUCUGUAUUUCUUUUGUCCAUUUGUUCUCUGUCCUUGGGCCUUUUGUCUGUGAUUGUUUCACUGACUCUGAUGCCUGUCCCCUGCUAACAGUGUCAGUGUGGGCAUCUGCUCUCUCUUUCUUUUUUUUUUUUUUUAAUUUUUUAUUAGGUAUUUAGCUCAUUUACAUUUCCAAUGCUAUACCAAAAGUCCGCCAUACCCACCCACCCCCUGCUCUCUCUUUCUAUACUUCCAAAAGUAAGGCAGGUUGGAAUCUCUUGGUGAUUACUUCUUGUUUUUAUCGGAAGAAUGUUCGGGGAGAACAAGGAGCAUACAAAUAUGCAGUUAUCCCACACAGACUAGAGGUUGAGAGACCUCCCAGGGUAGACUAAGGAGCAUGCGAAAGACUGAGGAGACUCCUAAGCCAAUAAUAAGAUUACUCAAAGCUGGGCAUGGUGCCGCACGGCUUUAAUCCCAGCACUCAGGAGGCAGAGGCAGGUGGAUUUCUGAGUUUGAGGCCAGCCUGCUCUACAGAGUGAGUUCCAGGACAGCCAGGGCUACACAGAGAAACCCCUGUCUCGAAGAAAAAAAAAAAAAAAAAAAAAAAAAAACAGAAACAAAAACAAAAGAUUGCUCAAGAAAUCUAUCUAGGGGUUUGCAACCAAAUAGGAAGAACAACAAUAUCAACCAGCCAGACCCCCCCAGAACUCCCAGGGACUAAGCCAUCAACAAAGGAGUACACAUGGCUCCAGCUGCAUAUGUAGCAGAGGAUGGCCUUGUCAUGCAUCAAUGGGAGGAGAGGUUCUUGGUCCUAUGAAGGCUCGAUAGAUGCCCCAGUGUAGGGGAAUUGAGGGUGGGGAGGUGGGAGUGGGUGGAUGGGUGGAGGGACACCUUUAGAGAAGCAGGGGCAGGGAGGAUGUGAUAGGGUGUUUCUGGGGAGAAGGGGAUAACAUUUGAAAUGUAAAGAAAAUAUCCAAUUUAAAAAAAAAAGAAGAGGAUGGAGGUGGACAUGAAGCAUCAUGGCUUGAACCAGCCACAGCUAUGAUAUCAUAAGGUUAGAAUAAUUGGGAUAAAGCUUUUAGCAUUAUCAACUGACUCUGAAAUUAUUGUAUUGGCAUCUUGUAAGUUGUGAUUUUUAUUGAUACAUAAAUCUGAUUGGUUAACUUCUAAAAAAAGAAAUCUAAAGCAAUAGUUAAAAACCUUCCAGAUCAUACAAAGCUAUCAACUGUUUUGCUAGAGAAAAGGCAGGCACUCUGAGGGAGGAGCCCUGGCUCUACGCAAAGAAGCCUCACCACACACAGUCCUUCCUUCAUCUGUGCGGCUGGGUUCCAAACAGCUACAAAACCACUGGCCACACAACCCUGGAGACGUCAGUCCAAUCUCCGGUGCCCUCUUAAAAAGCCAGGCUUUGUUGUACAGACUGGUGACUCAGCUCUGGAGUAAGGAAGACAGGCAGCUCCCUGGAACUUGACAGCUCCUUAGGUUAGUCUAACUAGUAAGGCCCAGGUCCUAGGGAGAGACCUACCUCAAAACACAAGGUGGACAGAAAACCUCCACCUCUGGCCACCAUAUGCAUCAGCACACACGUGUGUGUAUAUAAUUACACCCAACACACACAUAAUAUAGUAAUAUUUUUAUUUAAGCCAGCAGGUAAUAAUAGUAAAAUGUACAUUUAUCAGUCAUUCAACUUAGUGAAUAUAAUAUUAUUGACAUCUUUAAAAUCACACAUGUGGGCUGGAGAAAUAGCUUGACAGUUAAGACUUACUUAUUACUCUUGCAAAGGACUGGGAUUCAGUUCACAGUACUUACACAACGCAGCUCAUAGCUAUCCAUAACUCCAGCUCCAGGAGACCCAAGGUCCUCUUCUUGCUUCCCAGCCCUCUUGCAGAAAAGUGGUUUCCCAUACAUUCAUACAAACACACAAACAUACAAAUAAAUAAAAAGUGAAAGUGAAACCUCAUGAGGUUCUUAGUGUUUCUACACAUUCCCAUCCUUUGUCUCUAUCAAAAUUUUGUGCUUAAAAUUUUGCUUUUGGGGGCUAGAGAGAUGGCUCAGUGAUUAAGAGCCCUGGCUGUGUUUACAGAGGCUGUGAAUUUGAUUCUAGACACCUACAUGAGGGCUCACAACUGCCUGAAACUCUAGUUCCCGGGGACCCUGCACCCCCUUGGUGCCUGUGGAUACCAGGCACAUGUGUGUUACACAGACAUACGUUCAGGCAAAACACAAAUAAUUUUAAAAAUUAAAAACAAUUUUUUCUUUUCCUUCCCAUCUGUAAUUUUUAAAAAACAUUUCUUUUGUAUGUGUACAGGUGUGUACACAUGCAUGCACCUCUCAUGCCCCAGCACAUAUGUAGAAGCCAGAAGACAACUUGCAAAAGUCAAUUCUUCCCUCCCACCAUGAGCAGGUCCUGGGAUUGAACUUAGUUUAUCAGGCUUGGCAGCAAGCCCCUCUACCCACUGACCAUCUCAGUCAUCCAUGGUAACUUCUUAAUUCUUAAAAAUGUCUAAUGUGUAGGAAAAAAUCUGAAAGAAUACAGUACUCAGGUCUUCCUCAUCUAAACUUAAUUGAUUGCUAGUGUUCGGUACAUCGACAACGGGCGUUAUCUUAGGUCUUUAGCUGUGUGUGCACUGUUGAGAGAUUAAGCUAAUGACUUUCCACUGAGCUAGGACCCCAUCCUAAGAGAAUCUAGCUUUAGAUCCAGGGUUGUUUCCGAAUUGCCCAGCUGGUAUUCAAAGCCCGCAGUCUUUGAAGGCUCCUGCAGUCCUGGUCAGAUCCCUGACGUCUCUCCCUUUGAGAUUAGUUUUUGUGGGGCUAGCAACAUGGCUGGAUGGGUAGGAGCCAUCCCUAACCACCUAGGUUGGACUCCCAGGAUCCACACUCUAAAAGGGGAGAGCCACCUUCUGGGUGUCCUCUGAUCUCUACAUGUGUGCUGUGGCAUGCACACAUCCCAGCAUGCACACACACACAUAUAUAAUACAUAUAAGUAAAUAUAAUUUUUAGAUGAGAAAAAUAGGUUAAUUUUCAUGAUCUGCACUAUUAAGUCUGUACCUCUUGGUCGCUCCCCUUAUUCACUGGGACCUGAACCUGGCCCUGGCCCCAGGCUGCCAUCACCUUGGGUCACCUGUGCUAUCUAGACCCUGACUCCAUGUCUUGCAGAGACCUUCCUCUGCCACCCUUGAGUGACCCCAGCCUCUGCACCUGCCUCCUCUGCAAUAUGAGAUAGAGGACACCCAUUGGCCACAACUCUGUGCCCCUGGCUUUCUCGUCUACUUACACUAUUCCAGGACCUAAGAAAUACUCCUCUAGGUCCCAACUUUCUCUUGACCAGGCCCACUUUUCACCUUUUUCCAGCAGCUUGACCUGCCCUGUCAGCUGCUCUUCCCAUGGCUGGUCUUCACAUCUGCCUUCCUGCAGUAGCAGUGUAGGAUCACCGUGGCUGUUUACCACCACGGGGCAAAGUGCUGCAGGUGAACCCUGGCCUUCUGACUAAGUCCUAGUCAGACUUAGUCAGGCCCUGUCCUCAUCAGCUUCCUUUGAGAGUCAGCAGUCUCCACGGUGGCUUUUCUAUUUAUAUUUAAAAGAUUGUAGUCCUAACACUGUGUGUGUGAGUGUGUAUGUGUGUGUGUGUGUGUGUGUGUGUGUGUGUGCAGGUGCCCCAGAGGCCAGAAGCAUUGUAUUCCCUGGAGCUGGAGUUAAGGUAAUUGUGAGCUCCCCACUGUGGCUGCUGGGAACUGAGCUCAGUCCUCUGCAACAGCAGUAUGUGAUAUUAAUCUUUCAGGGGGGGCUUAAGAGCACUGACUGCUCUUCCAGAUUGUCCUGAGUUCAAAUCCCAGCAACCACAUGGUGGCUCACAACCAUCUGUAAUGAGAUCUGACGCCCACUUCUGGAGUGUCUGAAGACAGCUACAGUGUACUUACAUAUAAUAAAUAAAUAAAUAAGUCUGGUCUACUUCCAGAUAGAAUGAAGGAGGCAGGACAAGAAGAAAAAAUUUCAACACCAGCCUACAUUAUAACAAAACCCUGCUUCAAAAAGUAGGUUUGAGCCAGGCAGUAGUGGCACACGCCUUUAAUCCCAGCACUUGGGAGGCAGAGGCAGGCAGAUUUCUGAGUUCGAGGCCAGCCUGGUCUAAAGAGUGAGUUCCAGGACAGCCAGGGCUACACCGAGAAACCCUGUCUCGGGGAAAAAAAAAAGAAAAGUAGGUUUGGCACCAGUAUUUCAAAGGAGUUCUCUCUGAUUAAACUGCUAUUAUUCAUACAUUUAACAUAUGUACAGUUUUAAUUUAAAUAUUAAUAAAAUAAAAACAGUACUGUAUUAGUAUGCUAAUAGUAAAUAUAAUAUUUUGAUAUCACAAAUUUUAAUAAAAUAAAUUAAUACAAUAAGAAGCCAGCUAUAGUGGCACACAUCUUUAAUCACAACACUCAGGAUGCAAAGACAGACAUAUUUCAGAGAGUUUUAGGUCAGCCUAGUCUACGUGACCACUUGCAGGCCAACCAGGGCUACAUAGUGAAAUUCUAUCUAAAAAAAUGGUUUAGGGGUUGGAGAGGGGCUCAGUGGUUGAUAGCAACCCUUCCACUUGAAAUUAGAAAAAUAGUUUUAAAUGAACAAGAAUGAGAUGCAGCAAAUGCUUUCCUGAUCGUGUGUGAGGAGGUUUAAGCUACGAUGAAAAAAGCCGUAAAGACAUUUCUUAUACAUUUAACAAAACUAAAAUGUACUAUGUAGAAUAUUAUAACAUUACAGAUAAUCAGGGGCCAGUGAGGUAAGGUCUUUUUUUUUUUUUUUUUUUUGAGACAGGGUUUCUCUGUGUAGCCCUGGAACUCAAUCUGUAGACCAGGCUGGCCUCGAACUCAGAAAUCUGCCUGCCUCUGCAUCCCAAGUGCUGGGAUUAAAGGCGUGCGCCACCACUGCCCAGCAGGUAAGGUAACUUUUAUGACAACUUGGUGACCUAAAUUCAACCCCCAGGACUUACAUGAUAGGAAAACUGAUUCCCAAAAGCUGUCCUCUGAUCCUUCCUCCCUAUGCUGUGUCAUAUGCCUGUGAACAUACACAUAUGCAUAUGCAAGAGAGAGAGAGAGAGAAGAAAGAGAGAGAGAGAGAAGACAGAAAGGAAGGAAGGAAGAGACGCAGAGCAGAGGCAGGCAGAUCUCUGAGUUUGAGUCCAGCCUGGUCUACAGAGUGAGUUCCAGGGCUACACAGAGAAACCCUGUUGGGGGCGGGGAAGGGGGGAGGUAGGGAGAGGGAGAAGAGAGACCUUGUCCAGGAAAUGAUGAAAUUACUAAACUUGCUGAAAGGGCCAGAGAGCAGCGUAGCAGCAGGUUCCAGCAGAGAGCACACUGCAGAACUGGCUCAGCAGAGCUUUUCCUAUCUCUAUUGUGGCCAGGAAACUGUUGGUCAACAGCUGGUUCCACAGUCCCUCUAACAGUGUCAAGUGACAGGAGUCAGUGAGUAGAAAGGACAGUUAUAAGGGGGGAGAGUCAGCUAAGGUUCCCUGCUUGCUCAGAAACAAGGUCUCACUGUGCUACCUGGGUGUUCCAAACCUGAGCAUUCAGGUCGGCUUCCUAAGUAGCUAGGUACUGUAGGUCUACGGCACCACACCUGGGUGUAAUGUUUCUUUUUGGGUGUAAAGAUCCUUUUUGCCUUCCUUCCUUUCUUCCUUCCUUCUUUGAGAUAGGGUCUGAUUCUAUAAACCUUGAUUGGCUGCCCUUGAACUCACAGAGAUCCAUCGGUCUCUGCCUCCUAGUGCUAGUACUAAAGGUGUGAAAUAGCAUACCCAGCUGUUUUAAGUAAAGAUCACUGCCUCACUGGGAUGGCUCGGCAGGUAGAGGCACUUGCUGCCAGUCCUCGUGACCCAUAUGCCAGUGACCAUCCCCUCCACACAAACAGAAAUAUAAUUUAAAAAACUGGAUAGGGACUAUAGAGAAAGCCGUAACAACAACGACGGCGACGACAAAAUCACUAGAAGAAUUUAACAAGGUGACGUGAGAGGAUGACUGCUUGUCCUUACGUAGUUGUGCUUUGUGUCCAGGGGCUUCCCUGGGCAAGCACUCAAGAAGUGCCUCACUCCUUCCAGUGACCUUCAACAGCAGCGACCUUCACAAUCGCCAUUUUAGGAAACAGAGGUGAAGGGAGGUCAGAAAGCUUCUCCAAGGUCAGAGCUAUUUAGAGGUAAAGUAGGCAUUUAGAUGCCAAAUUCAUGGACCGGGAUACAAGAGGAAGUUGGGUGAUAUGUUGACUCUAGGAUUGGAAUACCACUAUUAGAAUCACAGAAAUUAAAUGGAAAAGGAGAUGGCUUCAAGAGUAGGUGAUGCUAGCAGGAUAAGACAGACAUCUUUAACCACCACCACCACCACCACCACCACCACCACCACCACCCACCUUCCACCCCCGCUUGCUGUGAGCUGUGAAAACCCCCAUUGUACUUGGGGUCCCAGCAAGGAACUCACAACUGCUGUAAUACACCAUUUCUAGUGAAGGAGUAUAGUCUUCCAAUACUUUCACAGCUGUCUUGCCACCAAACUCCUCCCUUCACUUUCUAAGGAGCUACCAGCUUAAGAAGAGGAAGAUAGAUGCACAAAAUUGUUGCCUCCUUUUUCUCCUCCUCCUCCUCUCCCUCCUCCUCCUGAAGACAUGCAUUGCCUGACUAUUGGAUGGAACUGAAUACAAAGUUGAGUUAUGCCUUAUGUACAGAUACUUUAUUAAUAAAAAUAUUUUAUUAUACAGAUUAAGUGCCUCUAAUAGGAUAUUUUAAGUGUUUCAAAGUCCAAGACUUGAAUAUCAACAUGAUAUCCUUAUGUUGGGGUCACGGCAAACGUGUAGGCACACUAAGAAUGUUGAAUUAAGUUACCUUCAAGCUAAGUAGGUAAGACUUAUGAAACAUAGUGUUUUAGGGUCUAGAUGAUCCCAUAACCAAGAGUUUUCAUAAAGUAUAUACAGAUCUUCCACAGUCCAAAACCAUCCCUAAUCUCUCAGCUUGUUCCAAGCGUUUAGGAAAAAGGACACUCAAAGCUUCCUGCCACCUAGCCAUCUAGAGAUGCCCGCCUUCUGUUGUCAAGUCCAGCAGGCCCAGCAGAGUUACCUGGCACGCUCCCAACCGUCAGCUCUCCUGCUCUGUAGGCUCUAGAUCCACGGACAGUUGCUAAUGCCCCUGGCUCCCUCCUGCCUCUGCAUUUGCUCUUAACUGAAAUAUAUGGAAAGCGAGUUAGUGUAGCUUAUAUAUUUACAACUAGUUCUUAAGAUUCCAUAUUUAAAGACUGUAUAACUUCCAAAAUCCACCCUAGAGCCAAUCAUGAAGCUACCCUGUAUCUGUAAGGCAAGGAAUGCCAGAGUCAGACAGGCAGGCAAACCCGGCCACCUUCCCUUACUGACUUUGCCCCUCACUCUGCCGCCCUGUUAGCCCCUGGUUCCUCCAGCCUUAUAGCCUUCCCUGUGAAGUCAGCCUGCCUCCUUGUAGUGAGGAGAAGGGAACUGACUUAAAUAAGGCACUGCCUGGAGGAGAGCGCCCUCAGUAAUUGCUAGUUGUUCUGAAUAAUCAAAUGUACAGUUAGGCUGUUUCUCUCUUUGGAGAGAUUCCUUUUAGGUGAUUUCAAGGUGAAAGGACUUGUGACCUUGGAGAUUAUAUAUAUAUAUAUAUAUAUUCCUAAACUGAAAGUGCAGGAGAUGAACUUCGGUUAAUCUUAUUCCAAACCCGUCCAUCCCCUUGCUUUGCUUCGCUUUACAUAAAAAAGCUCAACUCUGACAGGACAUGAAACAAGCACCUUUAACUUGACUUAGUAAUUCUCAGAGACACGUAACUAUUUGGUUGAAAAUAGAAAGUUAGUUCCAGCUAUGAUCUACUAAUUUUCUGAUCACGACAGAUAUUCCUGGAUGCUAAAUCUUGCCAAACCUCAGGUCAGAGCAGGAGCUUCUGUACCAGGCCGUGCUCAGGGCUCUGUCUGUCGUCCUUGCUGUCACUGUCUGUUGUCUGUCUCUUGUGGUUGAAGAAAUGGCAUCUAAAGAAAGUAUUUUAUACGAAGUUACUGAUCAAGAAUAUUCUUCUCUUCUAAGAAGCAGCUGGGGUUUUCUGGCAUUCCAUGCUUCUCCUGUGAGGUUGCAGCCUGUCUCCUGUAACAGACACUGCUACCCGGGUGCUGUUUCCAAGAUCUGCAGAUACUUAAGUCAUUGUCUUAAUACCGGACCCCAUCCAACAUUUCACACGGUUCACCGCCCCUGCCUCAAGUGUGCUCCUACAUCUGUGGUACCAGCCUCCUUCUCACCUCUAGCUCUUCCUGAGUUUCCCUUCCUUCCUCCCCUGCCAGGCUUUCUGCUCAGAUCUCAUUACUCACCAGGUGACCUCAUCCUUAGCUUUGGCUACAGUUACUGCUAGCCAGGAAUUCCUGGCUGAAGGGACCCAGAGCACCAGUUCCAAAUAUUUUCACGUCACAAAGUUACCACAAACAGCUAACCUCCUCUUUCAGCUCCCGCUCCUUACCCUGGAGUCACUGUCUGUCCAUCCAGGCGCUCAGGCCAGACAGAUCCUCGGGUGUCAUUCUUGGCUCCUCCCUGUGCCUCUGACUCUGGCAGGGGAGUUACUCUACCAUUCCUCCUCCUCGGCCUCCACUGUCCUAGCCCUGCUGCCUUUGGGUCUCUCCAAGGGCUGCAGUUGUUUCAGCCUCACUGUUGCCCCCACCUCCCUACUCUAUUCUAGACUCUCUUGACUUUGGAGAUAGCUGUUUGAAACACUUAUCUGCCCAUGUAUGGUGGUGCGCACCUUUAAUCCCAGCACUGGGGAGGCAAUCAGUCCAGUUUCUGAGUUUGAGGCCACACUAGUCUUCCAACAGAGUUCCAGGCCAGCCUGAUCUACAUGCAGAGUUCCAGGCCAGCCAGGGCUACAUAGUGAGAGUCUCCCAAAGGAAAACAAACGAAAUCCUCCCUCUCAAAAUAAAUGUGGGGCCUACAGAUGACUUAGCAGGUAAGGAUGCAUGCUACAGGAGGGAAGAACAGACUCAUGUAAAUUAUCUUAUGACCUGCACAGAGAGAGAGAGGGGGAGAGGAAGAGGGAGAGACACAAAUAUAAAAAAAAAAAAUAAAUGUAAAAAAAUAAUUGUAGGUGGCUGUGGUGACACACAAUUUUAAUCCCAGCACUGGGGAGACAGAGGCAGGCAGAUCUCUUGAGUUUGAGGCCAGCCUGGUCUAGAGAGAGAGUUUCAGGACAGCCAGGGCUACACAUAGAAACCCAGUCUCAAGCAGAAAAGAAAGUCAUACAAAAAAAUAAUUUUAAUGCAAAUCUUCCCCUUAGAAAGCUCUUAACUCUGACUUAUAUACUGUAAAGGGGUAAAUAGUAUAUCAGUUCUUUAUAAGAGCAAAGUAAAGCCUUGGCCUGGUUGACCAAGCUCCCGUAGCCUGGCCUGGUUUCUUCUCUGCCCUCCCCAUGCUGCACAUCCUCGCCUCUAAGGUGUGUGCUGUCCUCCACCUGCCCCUACCCUCUCCCUGGCCUGACAUGGAGGCAGACACCUCCCUGCCUUCAGGUCUCAGCUUGAGAUGACAUUGCUCCGGAAACCUUCCCUGGUCCCCACGGAAGGGGAUGGGGAUAGCUAGCUGCCUGUGUUCCUGAGCACAGCCUAGGCCAUGGAGCUACCCAUGUUACUUUACUCCUGUGUAGCAUUGGCUGAUCACACAUUUGUUGAUUGUUGUGGAUAUUUGUUGAACAGCUGCUCUGGGCUGGGUAUGGAGCUAGUGCUGAGUGUUCCGUGGCAAGUGAGUCUCUAUUCUCUUAGGCUCUAAGAAGGAAAAAAGGUGGACAGGAACCUAUACCACAAGGGCCAGUGAUGUUGUUUGGUGCAUAAAGUGUUUACAUGGCAUUGGCAAAGCCCUGAGUUCACACCCCAAGCACUGCAUAGAAACCUGGUAUUGUGCUGCAUUCAUGUAAUCCAGCAUUGGGAGGCAGAGACAGGAACAGCAGUUCAAGGUCAGAGCCUUUAUGGUGAGGACUCGGCAGGUAGAAGUGUUUGCUGAGCUAGCCUCAAACAUGCCGUAACCCACAUAUCCUCAUGCACUCUAAUAAUAGCAUUAGCAUAAAGUUCUUUAUAAAUAUACAUUUAUGCCAGGCAUGGUGGCACACACUCUUUAUCCUGGCACUCAAGAAGCAGAGGCAGGCCAGGCGGUGGUGGCACAGACCUUAAAUCCCAGCGCUUAGGAGGCAGAGGCAGGUGAAUUUCUGAGUUCGAGGCCAGCUUGGUCUACAAAGUGAGUUCCAGGACAGCCAGGGCUACACAAAGAAACCCUGUCUCGAAAAACAAAAAAAGCAAGCAAGCAAGCAAAAAACCAAAAAACAAAAAUUAAACUUUAAAGAUCAUACUGUUACAAGCAAGUCUGAGGCCAAACUGGGCUCUAGAGACCUUAUCUUAACAUGAAGGCAAUAGAGGUUUGGAGUGGCUUCACUGGUGAGGUGAUUGCUGUGCAAGUAUGAUGACCUGAACAUGAAUCCUUAAUGCUUAAAGUCAGUCAUGGCAUCCUGUGUUAGUAAUCCCACCACUGGGGAGCUGAAUACCCCGGAGCUCACUGGUAUAGCCACAUCGUGAGCUCCAGAGCCAGUGAGAGACACCAUCCCAAGCAAUAGCCCAGAGAGGCUGGAGGUCAAGAACACCAACUGCUCUUAGAGGACCCAGAGCCUUCUGUGACUCCAGUUCCAGGGCACCCGACACCUCUGGGGGCACAAAACACGUGGCUGUGAGUCACGGUGUGGAUGCUGGGAAUUGAACCUUGUCCUCUGGAAGAGCAGCCAGUGCUCUUAACUGCUGAGCCAGCCAUCUCUCUGGCCUCAUGUUAAGAGUUUAUUCCUUAACUCUAAGGAAGUCUUUGGAAACUUUAACAACUCCCUGCCUACUGUAUAAAAGUGGAAGACGGAUGGCAAGUUUAACAGGUCCCAAACUUCCCCGAAUCUCCUAAUAAGUUUUUGUUUGUUUGUUUGUUUGAUAAGUUAUUUCUCCACCAGAGAAAUGAGCCAAUUUAUGCCAGAUUAGUUUCUAUUAAAGGGAGGUUUGUUGGGAAGCUGCUUUCAGGCAAGUUCACUGGCCCCAAGGACUAAGGCCAGGGGAGUUGCCAUGGAAGGGAGAGGUGGGAGGAGAGAAGAGAAGCAGAAGAAAGACAGCAGGGAGACCAAAAUGCCUGGAGUAUCUGAGGAAGAGCCUCUGUGGGAAGGCAGCCCAGCCCCUGGGCUGGCAAGUUCAUAGUUGGGGCACAAUAUUCCAGGUAGGGUCUGAGGGAUGCUGGGAUGUGUAAGAUAUGCACCUCUGUCCCUUGUCCGGGGGCCUGAAACCAAACAUUGCUUCGUUUUGUUUUCUCUAUGUAGCCCUGGCUCUCCUGGAACUCAAGAGAUCAGCCUGCCUCUGCCUCCUGAGUGCUGGGAUAAAACAUUUUCUCCUAUCACUGCACACACUGUAUUUCCCAAACAUGCCCGUCAGAACUGUGGUAGUUUGAAUGCGAAUAGGGAGUGGCAUCCUUAGGAGGCAUGGCCUUAUUGAAAGAAGUGUGUCACUGAGGGGUAGACUUAAGGUUUCCCAAGUCAAGCCAGGACCAGUGUGUCUCUCCUCCUGCUGCUGCCUUCAGAUCUGGAUGUGGCACUAGCAGCUCCUUCUCCAGACCAUGCCACCUGUGUGCUGCCAUGCUUCCUGCCCUAACAAUAAUGGACAAAAUCUCUGAACUGUAAGCCAGCCCCAAUUAAAUGUUGUCCUUUGUAAGAGAUGCUAUGGUGACUGGAGAGAUGGCUCAGUGGUUAAGAACACCGGCUGCUCUUUCAGAGGACCUGAGUUCAAUUCCCAGCAACCACAUGGUGGCUCUCAACCAUCUGCAAUGGGAUCUAAUGCUCUCUUCUGGUGUGCACUCACAUACAUAAAAUAAAUCUUUAAAAAAAAGAAAAAAGGUUACUGUGGUCACGGUGUCUGUUUACGCCAUAGAGACACUGACUAAGACCUCAGAUCUUCCAUGUUGUUCUGGUCGUGACUUUGCUUUUCGAGGCAGGGUCUCAUGUAGCUCAGGCUGACUUUGAGCUAACUAGCUGAGGCUAGCCCUGACCUCCUUAUCUUCCUCCCUCCACUUCCCAAGUCCCUGAGGUGUUCCAAGUUCCACGUGUUCUUAGUGUCAUGUAGACACACUCCCUGCUGAGAGAUAAAGUCUUCUUCCCUCCCCUCCAAUAUGAAGACAUGAUCCAUCUUCACCCUGGUUCUCUGGAGGCUUGUUCACGCUUAGAACCCAGCUCCAAUACAGUAAGGAGGUCCAAGCUCGCCUGAGAAGAGGCUCAGACGAGGAAGAAAGAGGUCCUCCAGGGUCGGGGUGUAGUGCAGUGAAAGAGCAAUUGCCUAGAAUGGUGGAGGUCCUGGAUUUGGUCCCAUAGCACUGAAUAAAAAGUUAAGAAAACGGAACCUCCCGCUUCCAGAAAUGUACCCCACUUCAUGCAUCUGGAUAUAGAAAUGAGCUGCAGUACCUAACUCAGCCUGAACUGCAGAUGCAUUCACAAAGUGACGGUGCUGGUUGUUAAGGUCUCCGUCUAAGGGUGUUUGCUGACAGUGACAAGGGAGUGGAUGGCAUCCUGUCUACUGUGCAGUGGGGGUUGGGGGCGCAAUGCAGUGUUUAGUGGAUGGACUGUUUCUGUCUUGCUUCAAGAUGUUAAAUAUUUAUUUUAUGUAUAUGAGUCCACUGUAGCUGUACAGAUAGAUGGUUGUGAGCCUUCACAUGGUUGCUGGGAAUUGAAUCUAGGACCUCUGCUUGCUCCAGUCAGCCUCACUCGCUCUGGCCCACAGAUUUAUUAUUAUAAGUAUACUCAGACACACCAGAAGAGGGCUAGGGGGUGGCGCUAUUUGGAAGUGUGGCCUUGUUGGAAUAGGUAUGUCACUGUGGCCGUGGGCUUUAAGACCCUCAUCCUAGCUGCCUGGAAGUGAGUAUUCUGCUAGCAGCCUUCAGAUGAAGAUGUAGAACUCUCAGCUCCUCCUGUACCAUUUCUGCCUGGAUGCUAACAUAUUUCCACCUUGAUGAUAAUGGACUGGACCUCUGAACCUGUAAGCCAGCCCCAAUUAAAUGUUGUCCUUAUAAGA